UUCGCAAUGCCCGAAAGGGUGACGAAGCGACGCCGCGUGUGGGAAGAAGGCCUUCGGGUUGUAAACCACUGUCGGGAGUUAGGAAAUGUAAGGGUGCUAAUAGUAUCCUUACUUGACUAAGGCUCCGGAGGAAGCCACGGCUAACUCUGUGCCAGCAGCCGCGGUAAUACAGAGGCGGCAAGCGUUGUUCGGAAUUAUUGGGCGUAAAGAGCACGUAGGCGGCCUUGUAAGUCAGUUGUGAAAGCCUUCUGCUUAACGGAAGAACAGCAGCUGAUACUGCAAGGCUAGAGUGCGGAAGGGGAGAGUGGAACUUCUGGUGGAGCGGUGAAAUGCGUAGAUAUCAGAAGGAACACCGGCGGCGAAGGCGACUCUCUGGUCCGUAACUGACGCUGAGUGUGCGAAAGCUAGGGGAGCAAACGGGAUUAGAUACCCCGGUAGUCCUAGCCGUAGAC
This 452-nucleotide ribosomal RNA is filed under the name uncultured bacterium. RNAcentral describes it as "bacterial SSU rRNA". It matches the Rfam family "Bacterial small subunit ribosomal RNA", at positions 365 to 807 of the family's 1533-position model. The record is from RNAcentral.